GGGGAUGUGGCUCAGUGGUAGAGCACUUGUUUAGCCUGCUCAAGGCCCUGGGUUCAAUCCUCAGCACUGCCA
This 72-nucleotide transfer RNA is filed under the name Heterocephalus glaber (naked mole-rat). It matches the Rfam family "tRNA". Rfam says of the family: Transfer RNA (tRNA) molecules are approximately 80 nucleotides in length. Their secondary structure includes four short double-helical elements and three loops (D, anti-codon, and T loops). Lineage: Eukaryota; Metazoa; Chordata; Mammalia; Rodentia; Bathyergidae. The record is from Rfam by way of RNAcentral.